Molecule: ribosomal RNA, 263 nt
Filed under: Thalassiosira minuscula
Lineage: Eukaryota; Bacillariophyta; Thalassiosirophyceae; Thalassiosirales; Thalassiosiraceae
Description: partial Bacterial small subunit ribosomal RNA
Rfam family: Bacterial small subunit ribosomal RNA
Source: RNAcentral
GAGGGUGCGAGCGUUAAUCGGAAUUACUGGGCGUAAAGCGCACGCAGGCGGUUUGUUAAGCUAGAUGUGAAAGCCCCGGGCUCAACCUGGGAAUUGCAUUUAAAACUGUCCAGCUAGAGUCUUGUAGAGGGGGGUAGAAUUCCAGGUGUAGCGGUGAAAUGCGUAGAGAUCUGGAGGAAUACCGGUGGCGAAGGCGGCCCCCUGGACAAAGACUGACGCUCAGGUGCGAAAGCGUGGGGAGCAAACAGGAUUAGAUACCCUGG